This 1897-nucleotide ribosomal RNA is filed under the name metagenome. RNAcentral describes it as "bacterial LSU rRNA". It matches the Rfam family "Bacterial large subunit ribosomal RNA", at positions 17 to 2098 of the family's 2925-position model. The record is from RNAcentral.
GCACUAGGGGGAUACCUAGGUAAUUAAGUAAAUGGACGUAAUAGAUGCGAUAAGCUACGAUUAACAUUUCGUAGAUUUCCAAAAGGGAAACCUUCUCUUUAUGAGACUUAUUAAAACUUGGUGAAGUGAAACAUCUCAGUAACCAGGAUAAUAAAAAUCAACCGAGAUUCCGGGAAUAGUGGCGAGCGAAACCGGAUUUAAGGCCAUAUAAAUUCAAAAAUAGUAAUAUUGAGUAAACUGUAAAAUAGCCAGAGAAAUGCUAUGCCAAAGAGGGUGUCAGCCCCGUUGCAGACCAUGUUAUUAUAUCAUUUAUAAUUCGAGUAAAGCGAGACAUGUGAAAUCUUGCUUGAAUAUAGGAGAACCAUCUUCUAAGCCUAAAUAUACUUAAUUAACCGAUAGUGUACAAGUACCGUGAGGGAAAGGUGAAAAAGUUUAGUUAAUAGCUCUUGAAACCUAGUGCCAAUAAGCUGUUGGAGCUUUGAAACAAAGUGACAACGUACCUUUUGUAUAAUGGGUCAGCAACUUUAUUUAUAUAGCAAGCUUAAACUGUUAAGUGAAGGCGUAGCGAAAGCAAGUUUGAAUAAAGCGAACAGUUAUAUGAAUAAUACCCGAAACCGAGUGAUCUAGUUAUGAGCAGGCUGAAAUUAAUCUAAAAGUUAAUGGAGGGCCGAACCCGUGUAUGUUGCAAAAUACUGGGAUGACUUGUGACUAGGAGUGAAAGGCUAAUCAAACUCGGUAAUAGCUGGUUUUCUGCGAAAUCUAUUUAAGUAAAGCAUCAAGUAAUUGGUAGUUUGGGGUAGAGCACUCAUUGAACUAGGGGGAUGAAAAUCUUACCAAACUCAAGGAAACUCCGAAUACAGACUAUUAUUAUCUUGGUAGACGGACAUUGGGCGCUAAGGUUCAAUGUCAAGAGGGAAACAGCCCAGAUUAUUUACUAAGGUCCUUAAAUAAUGUCUAAGUGGAAAAGGAAGUCAGAAUAUUAAGACAACCAGUAGGUAGGCUUGGAAGCAGCCAUCCUUUAAAGAAAGCGUAACAGCUCACUGGUCUAGUAAUUUGGCGCCGAAAAUGUAAAGGGACUAAAGACAUUUACCGAAGUAGUAACUAUAUGUUUCAUAACUAAACGUAUAUGAAACAUGUGGGGUAGCAGAACGUUCUGUAGAUCGAAGAAGUUAUCUUGGAAAAGAUAAUGGAGGUAUCAGAAGUGAGAAUGCUGACAUAAGUAACGAUAAACCAGAGCCUAGCUUUAAAAGGCCGGGCAGAAUUCUGGUCGCCGUAAGCCCAAGGGUUUCUAUAGUAAAGUUCGACUUCAUAGAUUAAAUCGGUCCCUAAGAACAAAGCGAAAGCUGUAAUCGAUGGGAAAUAUUUAUAAAUAUCUUUUGAUGAUGACGAAAAUUAGAAGUUAACUAGUUCAAGAACCUGUUAUUAUAAUUUUCCAGGAAAAAGUCACAAAGUUUUAUAUAAAAGACCGUACCCGAAACCGACACAGGUGGGCGAGUCGAGUAGACUCAGGCGCGUGAGAGAAUCAAGUUUAAGGAACUCGGCAAAAUGACCUUGUAACUUCGGAAUAAAAGGUACUCAUACGAGUGACACAAAAUUGGGGGUAACGACUGUUUAAUAAAAACACAGGGCUCUGCUAAGUCGUAAGACGAUGUAUAGGGUCUGACACCUGCCCGGUGCCAGAAGGUUAAGAGGAGAGGUAUAUGCUUCAAAUUGAAUCCCUGGUAAACGGCGGCCGUAACUCUGACGGUCCUAAGGUAGCGAAAUUCCUUGUUAAUUAAUUGUUGACCUGCAUGAAUGGUGUAACGAUUUCCCCACUGUCUCAAACUUGAUCUCAGUGAAAUUGAAUUGUCCGUGAAGAUGCGGACUAUCUACGGCUAGACGGAAAGACCCCGUGCAC